CCUACGGGAGGCAGCAGUAGGGAAUCUUCCGCAAUGGACGAAAGUCUGACGGAGCAACGCCGCGUGAGCGAAGAAGGUCUUCGGAUCGUAAAGCUCUGUUGUUAGGGAAGCGGUACCUAACCAGAAAGCCACGGCUAACUACGUGCCAGCAGCCGCGGUAAUACGUAGGUGGCAAGCGUUAUCCGGAAUUAUUGGGCGUAAAGCGCGCGCAGGCGGUCCUUUAAGUCUGAUGUGAAAGCCCACGGCUCAACCGUGGAGGGUCAUUGGAAACUGGGGGACUUGAGUGCAGAAGAGGAGAGCGGAAUUCCACGUGUAGCGGUGAAAUGCGUAGAGAUGUGGAGGAACACCAGUGGCGAAGGCGGCUCUCUGGUCUGUACUGACGCUGAGGCGCGAAAGCGUGGGGAGCGAACAGGAUUAGAUACCCUUGUAGUC
RNAcentral lists this ribosomal RNA (432 nucleotides) under uncultured bacterium. RNAcentral describes it as "partial 16S ribosomal RNA". It matches the Rfam family "Bacterial small subunit ribosomal RNA", at positions 338 to 795 of the family's 1533-position model. The record is from RNAcentral.